Triticum urartu is the source of this 759-nucleotide non-coding RNA. The record is from RefSeq and is a predicted model, not a curated record. NCBI's taxonomy places the organism in Eukaryota, Viridiplantae, Streptophyta, Magnoliopsida, Poales, Poaceae.
CAAGUACAAUAAUCAGGAGCCAAGUCCCAUUGAGUUUUUCAAAGAGACCCAUACUAACAGCAUGAGCGAGCCGACACAUCUAGCUUAUAAUGCAAUGGAAAAGAAAAGGGAAACACAAUCAGAAGUGACAACCAGUGUUUGAUUCAAUGAUUGUGGCUGAAGUUCUAAAGAAAGAAAACACCCAUAGCACCUUCCUUUCCAGCAUGAGUUAUGCAUCAAGAUCCGGGAGAUUUGGGAACUCUAAUUCAUCAGCAAGGAUCUGAGUUCUAGAAGAAAGAAUUGAGCAAAAGGAUAAAGAGGCGAGAGAUGCAAAUGACAGGCACUGAGAGGAGUUAGUGGUGAGACUUGAAGCACAAGUGAGAGCAUUUGAAGAGGUGUAGAGGAAGCAACACGAAUAAUUGGAAGAUGUGAAGAAGAUCGAGCAAGAGAAGAAUGAAGCCUGGCAAAAGAAGCAACAAGAGACGGAUAUCCUGAUUGGUUUUCUCUUAAGGCUCAAGCAACUUAGCAAGCAACUUAGCAGUCCUAAUCCAAACUUAAUGGUGCAUGAAGGCCAUCCUUUUGCGAUGGAAAGAUAGUUGUUGAAUCAUACAUUGCAAUCAUCAGGAUAACACAUGUGGUCUUUACUUAUCUAAAUAUUGCUUUUCAACUUGUCUAUUCUUCUGUCAAACUCGUGAGUCAGUGUUAAUUUUUACUAUGAAACACAAGAGGACGAAUUGGCUGAGACGAUUAAAUAUAUAAUAUCAUAAAUUUAUGAUGUGA